Molecule: non-coding RNA, 621 nt
Organism: Lonchura striata (white-rumped munia)
Lineage: Eukaryota; Metazoa; Chordata; Aves; Passeriformes; Estrildidae
Source: RefSeq, a predicted model, not a curated record
GAGUCGGUGUUGGGAGCACGGAGCUGAUCUGCUCCCUCUGCUCUCCAGCCCUCCGCGCCACAGCCAAGGGGCUCUCAAAGGUGCUCCAGCUGAGUGGAUCCUUCUGCCACCUAAAUCAGCUCUGAGAGGAGAAACCACAGCAAAAUAACAGCUCUGGAUCUGAAUACUCUUGAUUUUUCUGCCUCUCCAUGCAGCUGUGUAGAGUUUUUCUUGCUUUUCUCCUCUUUCCACCUUCCUUUUUCGUCCAGGAUGGUGAAACACGAGCAGCAACAUUAGAACUGUCGUCUUUUCAACAGCCCAAGCCCACCUGGAGGUGACCCCAGGACCCGAAAUCCCAGGAAUCAUGGCUAUUUUUGGUGAGAGACUCAGAGGUGAGAAAUCCUCAACCUGACAGCAGCCAGGAGCUCCAGGGCAGCAGAAAACAGAGCGGUGAUGGGUCCCAGUGUCCUUCAGCCCCUUCCACUCUUUUGGGGUGGGUGUCCACCCCAAAAUUAAUUUUCCAUCACCACCAGGAGGGAUUUAAUGGUUGGACAUCGCUGCCGCCUGCUCAAGGGUCUCCACCACCUCAUUAUACCAAAUGUUCUCAUCAAGAAUCUUCUCAAUAAAGACAACUUGCCCACA